GAUAAACGCUGGCGGCGCACAUAAGACAUGCAAGUUGAACGGACUUAAUCGAAAUAUUUAUAUUUUGAAGCGGUUAGUGGCGGACUGGUGAGUAACGCGUAAGGAACCUGCCUAUUAGAGGGGAAUAACAGUGAGAAAUCAUUGCUAAUACCGCAUAUGCCAUAGAUAUCACAUGAUAACAGUGGGAAAGGAGCAAUCCGCUAAUAGAUGGCCUUGCGUCUGAUUAGAUAGUUGGUGGGGUAACGGCCUACCAAGUCGACGAUCAGUAGCCGGACUGAGAGGUUGAACGGCCGCAUUGGGACUGAGAUACGGCCCAGACUCCUACGGGAGGCAGCAGUCGGGAAUAUUGCGCAAUGGAGGAAACUCUGACGCAGUGACGCGGCGUAUAGGAAGAAGGUUGUCGGAUUGUAAACUAUUGUCGUUAGGGAAGAGAAAGGACAGUACCUAAGGAGGAAGCUCCGGCUAACUACGUG
Molecule: ribosomal RNA, 473 nt
Filed under: uncultured bacterium
Lineage: Bacteria
Description: partial 16S ribosomal RNA
Rfam family: Bacterial small subunit ribosomal RNA
Source: RNAcentral